UUCACCACCCUCCUGCCACACUUUUGACAGUCAGCUGUGGUUUUCUCAACUACCCUUCCGUGGCCCCCUUUUGUGCUGCCACACACCCAUGCUGCUCGCUGUGGCUUCUUUCCUGCUGUCAAACAAAGUGCCUCCUUCCUUCCUUCCUUCCUCUCUCCCUCCCUCCCUCCCUUCCUUCCUCUCCUCUCCUUCCCUUAGUUUCCUGCUUGCUUUGGAGCAGCCGUAACUUUCAGGAACAUAUGCAGCCAAAUUGCAAACUGCCCACCGGCAAUUACCUGCUCCCAGCACUGGACACCUCCUGCUAAUUAUUUUCCAAGAGCCAGAUGGUGCUGUCAUAAAACACUAGCCUUCCAUGUGCACAUGCAUACGUAUGUGCACAAAGUGCAAAAGGAAUGGGCAGAUUUGCCUUGCCGGAGCCCAGGGAUUAGAAAUCAAGAUCCUCACCAAUUAAUUGGUAAUUACUUUGUCUGAAAAAUAAACAUUCUGGUAAAUACAAGCCAUUGCACUUUGGUGGCAAGGAAUCAGGCAGCGCCAGGUGCGAUCACGCGCAUGGCAGGCGUCCCUGACUGCAGAGGCUGCCCUUAGAAGCAAGAGUCCGGCCGCUCAUGGAGCAAGAACAGCCACUCGUGAAGGCAAAGAGGUCAAGCGGCCAGACGACUAACAAGACGAAGCUCCCUCUCCUUGCUAGCCUGGGGCGACGUUGAGCCAGUCACAACUCACAUCCCAUCCAGCUGCAGAUUAAGAGGACGGAGGGUCUCUGAAGCUCAGCACUGAUGAGGAAGACACCAGAGUGGGCACAUCCCAGACCACCUGAGCACCACGGACAGAGACGUGGGGCUCCUUCUGAGAUGCCUGCAUGGGCACUGCCGGUGGGCGACGCGUGCAAAUCGCCCACCGGACGUUUAGACUUUCCCCAGAACAAACGGGAAGCAGAGUGGCCUCCUCUGGACUCCGGCCUUAUCUGGGACGGCAUGGAAAGAGAAAUCUUUGCACCGCUUCAACGCCUCGGAGGCAAAGAUCGGCUUUUCCUGAAUGACUGACUGGUGGUCCGAGAGGGGUUUUCAAUGGACUGUUGUGCUCUGUGGCUUCAAAUGUGCUCUAAUAUUGAUCUUAGUGAUCAUUUUAAUAUAAUAUCUCUUUAAUUCUUUUUCAAUAUUUGUAUACUUACUGUUUUAGCUGUCGAGUACUGUUUCAAUGAUGCAAGCUUCCUGGGGUCCCUUUGGGGAGAAAGGUGGCAUAGAAAGACUUUAAAUAGCUAGUCUUGGGAGAGUGGGAGGGGUGGCCCUCAGGGACCGCUGCGCCUCCAUGCUGGGCUGUUCACAGGCUUCAUUUCUAUCCUGUUUUUGUUUUUUGUUUUUUGUUUUGGUCCGGGGAGUCCCAGGUGGCGCCAUCAGCUCUUGCCUUGCCUGUUUUACCCUCGUGGUGAUCCUGUGCAGUAAAUCAGACUCAGAAGCAGAGCUUCCCUGAGAGGGUUCAGGGUUCUGUGGGUCCUUGAACCCAGGCUUCUACAGUCCAGCACCCUUACCCAAAACACACACACACACACCCCAUGGGCUCCGACCACAGGCCAUGUCAUCCUUCUGGAGGUCAAAUGGCAGCUGGGUGAGGGCCCUGACGCCAUUCCCCUUACUUCCUCCCCACCUCCUGCUUACAUGGCAAUCCCUCUGCUGAUGGUGGAGCUUGCCCGCUGAAAGGUGUGCACAGUGACAGGGGAGGGAGCCUGGCCUUCUCCAGGCUGGAGUGGAGAACGGCUUGGUUGUAAUCCUGUCUCUUUGUGGGACACGCUUGGAUGAGUCUGUCACCCCUCAUCAGCUGCCAGCCCUCAGAGCUCUCUUCUGUCUGACUGUCAGAGCAAAUCCUCCUUACUCUGAGCCAUCAGGCGCGCUCCUACAGGCAUCACAGCACCCUGAGAGAUUCUGAGGUGCCCUCUCA
Pogona vitticeps (central bearded dragon) is the source of this 1932-nucleotide long non-coding RNA. The record is from Ensembl. NCBI's taxonomy places the organism in Eukaryota, Metazoa, Chordata, Lepidosauria, Squamata, Agamidae.